CCUACGGGAGGCAGCAGUGAGGAAUAUUGGUCAAUGGGCGCGAGCCUGAACCAGCCAAGUCGCGUGAGGGAAGACGGUCCUAUGGAUUGUAAACCUCUUUUGUCGGGGAGCAAAAGACGCCACGCGUGGCGUUCCGCGAGUACCCGAAGAAAAAGCAUCGGCUAACUCCGUGCCAGCAGCCGCGGUAAUACGGAGGAUGCGAGCGUUAUCCGGAGUUAUUGGGUUUAAAGGGUGCGCAGGCGGAAGAUCAAGUCAGCGGUAAAAUUGAGAGGCUCAACCUCUUCGAGCCGUUGAAACUGGUUUUCUUGAGUGAGCGAGAAGUAUGCGGAAUGCGUGGUGUAGCGGUGAAAUGCAUAGAUAGCACGCAGAACUCCGAUUGCGAAGGCAGCAUACCGGCGCUCAACUGACGCUCAUGCACGAAAGUGUGGGUAUCGAACAGGAUUAGAUACCCGAGUAGUC
Molecule: ribosomal RNA, 459 nt
Filed under: uncultured bacterium
Lineage: Bacteria
Description: partial 16S ribosomal RNA
Rfam family: Bacterial small subunit ribosomal RNA
Source: RNAcentral